GAUGAAGAACGUAGCGAAAUGCGAUAAGUAAUGUGAAUUGCAGAAUUCAGUGAAUCAUCGAAUCUUUGAACGCACAUUGCGCCCGCCAGUAUUCUGGCGGGCAUGCCUGUUCGAGCGUCAUUACAACCCUCAGGCCCCCGGGCCUGGCGUUGGGGAUCGGCGGAGCCCCCCGUGGGCACACGCCGUCCCCCAAAUGCAGUGGCGGUCCCGCCGCAGCUUCCAUCGCGUAGUAGCUAACACCUCGCGACUGGAGAGCGGCGCGGCCACGCCGUAAAACACCCAACUCUUCUGAAGUUGACCUCGAAUCAGGGAGGAAUACCCGCUGAACUUAAGCAUAUCAAUAAGCGGAGGA
This 352-nucleotide unclassified non-coding RNA is filed under the name soil metagenome. RNAcentral describes it as "partial contains 5.8S ribosomal RNA, internal transcribed spacer 2, and large subunit ribosomal RNA". The stretch from base 1 to 120 matches the Rfam family "5.8S ribosomal RNA", at positions 35 to 154 of the family's 154-position model. The record is from RNAcentral.